AACGAACGCUGGCGGCAUGCCUAACACAUGCAAGUCGAACGAGACCUUCGGGUCUAGUGGCGCACGGGUUCGUAACGCGUGGGAACCUGCCCUUAGGUUCGGAAUAACUCCCCGAAAGGGGUGCUAAUACCGGAUAAUGUCUUCGGACCAAAGAUUUAUCGCCUUUGGAUGGGCCCGCGUUGGAUUAGCUAGUUGGUAGGGUAAAAGCCUACCAAGGCGACGAUCCAUAGCUGGUCUGAGAGGAUGAUCAGCCACACUGGGACUGAGCCACGGCCCAGACUCCUACGGGAGGGAGCAGUGGGGAAUAUUGGAAAAUGGGCGAAAGCAUGAUCCAGCAAUGACGCGUGAGUGAUGAAGGCCUUAGGGUUGUAAAGCUCUUUUAACCGGGAUGAUAAUGACAGUACCGGGAGAAUAAGCCCCGGCUAACUACGUG
RNAcentral lists this ribosomal RNA (433 nucleotides) under uncultured bacterium. RNAcentral's name for it is "partial 16S ribosomal RNA". It matches the Rfam family "Bacterial small subunit ribosomal RNA", at positions 29 to 507 of the family's 1533-position model. The record is from RNAcentral.